UCUGCAGAAAAAGGAAUCUCAGGGUUACAUGUAUGUACUCGGAUAAUAAACUUUACUUUGAACUUUGUUCCAAUGAACUUGUCCUUCUACGUAUUUUGGAAAACAUUCGUAGCACUUCUGCUGUGCCUUGAGGUGCCCACUCUAACUGGCCCAGACUCCACGGGAGCAAGUUAAACAGCAGAGAUCACCGUCCACCAGUAGGCACAACUUUUGGAAGAUUGGAAUGUUUCAGAGUUUGAAGAACAAUUCCAGCAUCAUCUGUGAAGAGUUUGUACACUCUCCCGUUGGUUUCCUAUGGGUGCUUGGGUUUCCUCAAACAGUCCAAAGACGUACCAGUUAGUAGGGGUUAACAUGGGGACAGCCAACAAAUUCCUUCCGAAUGAGGAUCAAAUAAGGUCAAACCUGUUUCACUGUCGAAAUCGAAUUUCCUCGAUCUUUUAACUCCUGAACUCCGAUCUUCACUCUCCACGAUUUUUAACUGGCAGUAUAAUAAAGAAAAUGCCGGCGAUGAC
Long non-coding RNA from Hypanus sabinus (Atlantic stingray), 512 nucleotides. RefSeq lists it as uncharacterized. The record is from RefSeq and is a predicted model, not a curated record. NCBI's taxonomy places the organism in Eukaryota, Metazoa, Chordata, Chondrichthyes, Myliobatiformes, Dasyatidae. The transcript has 3 exons.